Molecule: long non-coding RNA, 9906 nt
Filed under: Pelobates cultripes (western spadefoot toad)
Lineage: Eukaryota; Metazoa; Chordata; Amphibia; Anura; Pelobatidae
Source: RNAcentral
CGCCUUUUCCCUCUUCAUGUCUCUCAUGCUGAUGGCUGCCUCCUACAGCUUUCACCUAACGGCUCGUGUGCGCUCGAUCACUGUCACUGCGGCGAACAGCGCACCGAUUCCUGAUUACCCAACCACUCACUCACUCACUGACCCACAUCUGAUUACACACUCACUCACUGACCGACAUCUGAUUACACACUCACUCACUGACCGACAUCUGAUUACACACUCACUCACUGACCCACAUCUGAUUACACACUCACUGACCAACGUAAUUGACUCCUGUUUAUCCGCUUACUCACUGACUGACUCCAACUCAACUACUCACCCACCUCUGUUUACCCAUUGAUUCACAGACUUACUCCAGAGAGGGGUUUGUGAAACCUUUUAGUUGAUAAAUGACUAGUUGCAUUGUGUGCUUAGCAGUGCAUGGAAUUGAAACCUGUAAAGAUAGGUCAAAACUUUAUGGAUCCUGGACUAUCACACCUAUAGGAGCUUAGAGGAUGUUAAUUUACAAAACCAUGGCUUUUAAAGGACCACUAUAGGCACCCUGACCACUUCAGCUCAAUGAAGUGGUCUAGGUGCCAGGUCCAUCCACAGGCAUAGGCAACCUUCAGCACUCCAGAUGUUUUGGACUACACUUACCAUGAUACUUUGCUUGCAUUUUGGGUGUGAGAGCAUUAUGGGGGAUGUAGUCCACAACAUCUGGAGUGCUGCAGGUUGCCUAUCCCUAGGAUUAACCCUUUCUGCUGUAAACUGAAACUGCUAUGUUUCUAAAUGGGUUAACCAGCCUCUAGUGGCUGUCUUAUUGACAGCUGCUAGAGGCACUUCCGCGCUUCUCACUGUGAUUUUUCACAGUGGGAAGAUGCCAGCGUCCGUAGGAAAAGUUGCUCCACACUUCUUCACUUAUCUUGAUAUGUGCACAGGGGCACAAUCAUGGAGGAACUAGAAAGGUCUCAAUUUUAUGCAUCUUUUAGAAAUCUAACUGAAUACAAAUUAGUGAGGCGAAAAUAGUCUGGGUUAUGUUAGAAUUUAAUAAUUGCACAGUAACACGUAUAGGUGUGAUUGUAUAGGCCCCCUGGACAAAUAGAAGCAUUAGAUAAUAUGCAUUGAAGGGGUAAAUUAUAUCAUAAGUGACUUUCAUCUUCUGCUGUGUACUGGAAGACCAAAAUAGCUGCUUGUGCGAGAAGUACACAUUUUGUAAAUACAACUCACAAGGAGGUCAUACUAGAUUUAGUGUUAACAAAUGGAGAUUUGGUAUCAGAUAUUACUGUAGGUGAAAGUUUAGGAUCUAGUGAUCAUCAGUCAGUGUGCUUUAAUCUGAAAGCUGACUAAGUCAUACAACACAAAAACAAGUUUUAGCUUUUUGAAAACAAGAUUUUUCUAAAUCUAGAAUAUGCAUAAAGGUGUCAUCAGACUGGAGCAGUUUUUAACCCCUACCCAACUUCUGACGUACCAGGUACAUCUGGCAAAAAAAACAGUUGUUACAAACCUCGGAUAUACCUGGGAAGUCCGCGCCACAUUAUUCACUUACCUGAUCGUGAUGUGGGGACUUGCCUGGCAUCCCAGGCAGUCCCCCUGCGGCUGAUCCGGCCCCCCUUGCCCAUGUGAUCGCUGGGGUCAAAAUACAUUUAGAAUGACGUUAUAAAUACAUAUAUCCCCUUAAUGAGAAAAAAACGGUCAUUAAGGACUGCGGACAAAAUAGGAGCCCUGGACCAGCGACCCUGGUCAAAGGGAACUGCCAGAGACCCUGGCUGUCCCCUUGCAGCAGCUUUGGCCACCCCAGCCCUUUAGGGCCAUGUGAUUACCCGCAAUAGGAGUCUAUGGAGCUCCCAGCAGGGGAACUGUCAGGCAAUCCCCCAAGCUACUAAAAAGUAAAAAAUUAUAUAUGUUAUACAUAUAUUAAAUAUGUAUAUAUAUGAUUUCAUUAUAAGUGUACUUUGAGAUAUAUACACGUAUAUCUCAAAACAGACUUAUGAAAUCAUAUAUGGAUAAUCUAUUAUAAAAUGCAUAUAUAUAUAUAUAUAUAUAUAUAUAUAUAUAUAUAUAUAUAUAUAUAUAUAUACGUACACACGUAUUAUACACUGAACAAAAUUAUAAAUGCAACACUUGUUUUUGCCCCCAUUUUUCAUAAGCUGAACCCAAAGAGCUAAGACUUUUUCUAUGUACACAGAAAGCUAAUUUCUCUCAAAUAUUGUUCACAAAUCUGUCUAAAUCUGUGUUAGUGAUCACUUCUCCUUUGCCGAGAUAAUCCAUCCACCUUACAGGUGUGGCAUAUCAAGAUGCUGAUUUUAUUAAAGACACGGAGGCUCCUAUUAUGCAUUCUCUUUCUUUAUUAUACUCCCAGCAGCAAGAAAAGGAAGUAUGAGAGAAUCAUAUAAAAAACAUAACAACAGCCUGAUAACAGUGGCACCAAUCAGCAUCCAGUAUUAUCCAUAUGGGUGUGGUGCUCCUUGACUCCUCUUUCUUGCUGCUCCCUCAGACAAGUUAAAGGACCACUCUAGGCACCCAGACCACUUCAGCUUAAUGAAGUGGUCUGGGUGCCAGGUCCUUCUAGGGUUAACCCAUUUUUUUUUAUAAACAUAGCAGUUUCAGAGAAACUGCUAUGUUUAUCAAUGGGUUAAGCCAGCCUCCAAAUCCUCUAGUGGCUGUCUCAUUGACAGCCACUAGAGGCGCUUGCGUGCUCCUCACUGUGAUUUUCACAGUGAGAGCACGCCAGCGUCCAUAGGAAAGCAUUGUAAAUGCUUUCCUAUGCGACGGGCUGAAUGCACGCGCAGCUCUUGCCGCGCGUGCGCAUUCAGCCGGCGGGGAGGAUCGGAGGAGGCAGAGAGCUCCCCGCCCAGCGCUGGAAAAAGGUAAGUUUUUAACCCUUUCCCCCUUCCAGAGCCGGGCGGGAUGGGGUCCCUGAGGGUGGGGACAACCCUCAGGGCACUAUAGUGCCAGGAAAAGUAUGUUUUCCUGGCACUAUAGUGGUCCUUUAAGUACCUCAUCUCUUGCUACUCCUGUGAUUUUCAUAUAUAUAUAUUUGUAUUUGGGUAAAAGAUUUUAGCAUAGUGUAUGUUUAUGCUUAUUUUAUGCUUCACUGUUAUUGCUGGUUUAUUUACUGCUGGUGUCUGGGAGUGCUGCCUAUUAAGAAAAAGGGGUCUCUGGGACCCUGGGUUUUCCCCCUCUGAGUAGUGUUAUACUCUUCCCCCUGCUCGUUCCGUUUUUUCUGUGGGUUCAGCAGGGCUGCCCUUAGCUGCUCACUGUUUUGGCCGCGGUCUAUUCCGCGGUUUUCUUCCGGUCCGCGCAUGCGCGAACGCUCUUUCGCCGGUUUUCCUCUUUUCCUAACGGCCGCGCAUGCGCAUUACGUGCCGUGGCUGCCAUCUUUUUGGUUUCUGUCGCCGCCUAUGUAAAUUUACUCGCGGCGGCCAUUUUAAGUACGUUUUCGGCGGGAAAUUGCUGCGGACCGAUGCUGUAGGUGGAUAACGGUUUCUCCUACCCUCUUGGCGCACUCCCAGACCCAUCCUGUGCUUAUUUACUGUUUUUGCUGUCAUUGCUGGUCAAACUGUAAGUGUUGGUGUGGAGGAUUACUCUAUCCUGACACCCUUUUUGUCCUUAGCCUUAGCUAGUAUACUUUUUUCCCUACAGGUCAUUUCAGAUACUGUUCUUAACCAUUAGCUACUACUAGUGGCAUUACCUUAUUGGGCCCAAUAAUUCUAACUCUGAGUGGACUUGGGUGUAUUAUCCCCUGUGAGUUUAUAUUAUUGCUAAAAUGCAAGAUCAGAAUGAGAGACCUGCAGGGUCUGUGUGUCCUACACCAGGGGUUUUCCCCUCAGACAGGGCAUGUAAGGAUGACACCAGCCUCAUGGCAUCGGAGGAAUUUCAAUCCCUCCUCGAUUCCACCAUGGCACAAUCCAUCAACAAGGCGUUAGCCUCCGCGAUGGGGGUCAUGUCAUCCUCUAUCACACAAUCUAUAACCAAAGCGCUGAUACAGUCUCAAAGUAGUGGUCCUCAGAGCACACUAAACCCGGGAACCACUAAUGUGGUACAACCGGGACGCAAAGCCUUGACGAAAAGCAAACAUAUUGCCUCCCCUCCAGAACUGCAGGUUCAGCCUGCAAUGACUGACACGCCUCAGGCUGUCAAGGAUGGCGCGAUACCACCGCGCAAUAGAGCCCCUGGCCGGGCAAAAUCGGCCAGAUCCUGGAAGCGGGCACGUGCCCAAGAGGACUCGUCUGAUUCGGACCGGAGCUUGGAGGAGGAGUAUGAUGAUUUAUGUAUGGACCAUUAUAGUGCGGAAUAUUCCGAUUCUGGAUCCGAGGUGAAAUUUCACACUGCGACCCAGCAGGCUACAGCUCAGGGCGCUGAGCCUGCCGUAUCGGGCGAGGGCGACGAUUUGCGGGACCCUCUGGGUAACCCGUUGUUUGACCCAGAUAACCUCCGUCACCCUCGCUCGGCGGAAUGGGAGCCGCCUGCGCACAUUGCGAGGUACCUCGCGCUAAGAGUAGGAAAACCUUUUAUCUAAGGAAGGACGUAACAAACUACGGGUGGAAUGCCCACGGCCUAUCCUUCCAGACUCAGUGGGAAAAAACCCUGACGUGGAUCCCCAAUUGGUCCAAUUUUUUAAUAAGUCGGGUUGGAAACCGAGGAAAGGUUUGGAUUUCUCCCUUCGGAACUGCCAGGACAAGUUCCUGGACACUUUGGGGCCCAUCACCAAACUUUAUGAGUUAGUGGAAUCUGCCCAAUCAGGUGAGAAUGACUUUGAUUUCGAAGUAGCGAAAGGCUGGUUGCAGAGGUUAGUCUGCAUGGUGGGUAACGCCAAUACAGCCAUGGCAACCGAACCCCGCAAGGCAAUUCUCAUGAGAAUAGAGCCCAAACUGGUCAGUAUGGCGACCAAUGAGCCGGGGCCAGCCGCUAAAGGCUUACUCUUUGGUGAAUCCUUCAUUAAGGAUCUUGGGCUGUACGUUGAAACAUUUACAGCAAUUGACAAAGCUCAGACUUCUCUUAAAAGAGUAUUUGCACCUCGGGUUUUUGGAGGGGCCGGUAGAGGUAGGAGCCGUCUAUCCGGCCGUGGAUUUCGAGGCUCAUUUAGAGCCGGCAGAGGCUCCUUUAAUACCCAGAGACCGGUACCAGAACGAACCUACACCCCGUUCUUCCCAUCUCGUGGACGCCCCUGGAAUUCCCGCGGACCGCGGGGGUCUGUCUCAGGCAGACGACCUUAUGGUGAGUACCGAGUAUCUCCAUUUUUCCCAUAUAAAAGUGGGGGGCAGAUUGGCACUGUUUCACCAUGCUUGGAAACUUCUAACCUCAGAUGUUUGGGUAUUAAAUACAGUACAGGGGUACCUGAUGGAGCUAGUCUCUUACCCUACUCAGGUGCAGUUCCCUCGAGAACUAAACAUCAGAUUGGAUGGUCAAGAUAGAUUUACGGGAUGCUUAUCUGACAAUCCCUGUCGCAGAAGCGCACCAAAACCUACUGCAGUUUCAGUGUCAAGGAACGAAGUGGAGGUUUGUAUGUCUACCAUUUGGUCUGUCCUCUGCUCCAUGGUGCUUCACAAAGGUACUAAAGCCGGUGAUUGCCUUCCUGCGCACACGAGGGGUCAGGUUAAUAAUUUACCUAGACGAUAUCCUUCUCCUGUCUCAAUCCCAAUUACGGGUUCAUUUGUCUUGGACAACACACCUUCUCCAAAACUUAGGAUUCUUGGUGAAUUGGGAGAAAUCUGUCCUUCAACCCUCCAGAUACAUGGAAUUUCUGGGAUUUCAAGUGGACUCUGUACAACAGAGGUUGUGCCUACCCAAAGACAAAAUGAUUUCGAUCAAGAAAGAGAUCAGACGACUUAUGAUUCGUACGACCAUUUCCCUCAGACAACUUGCGAGGAUCAUAGGGCAUCGUCCAUACAAGCAAUCUUCCGGGGCCCGUUACAUUAUCGUGCCCUACAAAGGCUCAAGGCCUCAUAUCUGCGCUCCGGACACUCGUACGAAACCUGUGUUACACUGGACGAAGAUUCCAGAGAGGAGUUGACAUGGUGGCUAGCCCACAUGGAGGCGUGGAACGGACGGGUGAUAUUCGGGUCUCCGCCAGAUCUGGUCAUAGAGUCAGACGCCAGCUUACACUGCUGGGGCGCGCAUUGUGGUUCAGUUUCCACCGGUGGCAGAUGGUCCAACGAAGAAACGUUGCUACACAUCAACUGCCUAGAACUGUUAGCGGCAUCCUUUGCCAUUCGCAGCAUGACCCCCACAGGCAUCUCAUGCUCUAUCCUAAUCAAGAUGGACAACGUUUCGGCGGUGCGUUAUAUCAACCACCUAGGAGGAACGAAAUCGAAAGUUCUGGCACUGAUGGCUCGAGAUUUUUUGCACUUUAGUCUAAGACAACAUUUCGGUAAUAGCGGAAUAUAUCCCAGGACGGGACAAUGCACUGGCGGAUUGGAAUUCUCGAUAUCUUCGAGACGCAGGGGAUUGGCAUCUCCACCCAAUGAUCUUCCAACGUCUCUCUCGACUUUGGGGACCUCUCAACAUAGAUCUCUUCGCGUCUCGACUGAACACCCAACUUCCUCGGUUCUUCAGUUGGAGACCGGACCCAGAUGCGCUGGCGACAGACGCAUUCUCACAAGACUGGUCCAAGGGCAAGAAUUACGCUUUUCCACCUUUCAGCCUAAUCUCUCGGACCCUUGCAUACCUUCGAUAUUCCAAAGGGACUAUACUGCUGAUAACCCCGAUAUGGAGGUAACAACCUUGGUUCCCACAGUUAUUAGAAAUGUCGAUAGAUUCCCCACGACUGUUGCCGGACAUACCCUACCUCCUGACCAAUCCAGAGGGAAUGAGUCACGAGUUGAUCGACCAGGGUCUACUUCGCCUGAUGGCAUGGUUCCUUUCAGGAGAACAUGGAAUCUCGAGGAUGUUUCGCAGACAACACUCAGUCUCUUGGCAGAGUCUUGGGCACCAGGUACCAGACGUUCCUACGGGUCGGCUUGGAGGAAGUGGACUGAUUGGUGCGUGGGACAAUCAGUGGAUCCCAUAUCAGCUCCUGUGAAAAUAAUUUUACAAUUCCUGACUCUACUCUUUGAAGAAGGUAAAGCCUUUCGGACUAUAAAUCUAUACAGGUCAGCUAUAUCGGCGAGACAUAUGGGAUUGGAUGGUACUCCAAUAGGUAAACAUACCCUCAUCUGUCGUUUGCUCAAAGGCAUCCGGUUUGCUCGACCCCCGCAGGCUCGGUAUUCUUCCUUCUGGGAUGUCAAUGUGAUUUUUCGUUUUCUCGAGUCUUGGCCUUUGAAUCACGAAUUUUCUCUUAAACAAUUGUCAACCAAACUGUUGAUGCUGUUUUGUUUACUUUCAUGUAAACGGGUUGUUGAUGUCAGAGCAUUGGAUUGGCAAGCACGCGCUUUUGUUCCGAACGGAGUUUCCUUCAAUGUUUCACGUAGGACAAGGUCUACAACUAAGGAGGUUUUCUACCCGUCGUUUCCAGACAACCCGAAUCUGUGCCCAGUGUUAUGCCUUAAGGAAUACGAGCGCCGCACGAGCUCGCUCCGUCCUGAUCAAACCCAUCCAUUAUUCAUCUCGUUCAGAGUACCGCACCUACCAGUAUCUACUCCUACUUUAGCUCGUUGGAUCAAAUGGUUAUUAUCCGUGGCAGGCAUAGACACUUCAAUUUUCUCCUCACACUCCAUUCGCAGGGCGAUGGAUUCUAAAGCUUCCAUGAUAGGUUGUAGAUUGGAAGACAUCUUACGAGCAGCUGAUUGGUCGAAUGAGUCUACGUUUCGUAAUUUCUACUUUCGACCAGUGCAACAUAUUUCCAGUUUGGUGGUUGCUCAGCUUUAAAAUAGCAUAAUAGGAGCCUCCGUGUCUUUAAUAAAAUGUCCAGAUUUUACUAUUAACAUGACGUAAAGUCAUGAUUUUAUUAAUGACACGGAGGCGAGUAUUAUUCCCUCCCGCCCUACCCAGGGUGGUGUUUAAGUUACAGGUCAGUCAUGGGACCUUUGGAAUGACACAAUACGGUAGGUACAAUGUCAUACACGACACGAAGGUAAGGUUUGUGAUGAAUAUACUUCUAUAUACUUAUAGUGUUGGAAUAACGUAGUGGUAGAGUUGGAUAACUGUGGAAUAGCAGUCGCAAGCCUCGAUAUUACCAUAUAUUUCUUCUUUUUUAGCUUGAAUACACCUAUUAAAGUUGGCGGUUGAAGCGGUUCCCUGUUGAAUUUCCGGUUAUGGUUUUGUUUCGGGAAUUCGUGUUUGUUGGAAUAUUUUGGAACUUACAAUAUGGUCUUCGGGAUCUACACAGAAAGAGGAGGAGUCAAGGAGCACCACACCCAUAUGGAUAAUACUGGAUGCUGAUUGGUGCCACUGUUACCAGGCUGUUGUUAUGUUUUUUAUAUGAUUCUCUCAUACUUCCUUUUCUUGCUGCUGGGAGUAUAAUAAAGAAAGAGAAUGCAUAAUACUCGCCUCCAUGUCAUUAAUAAAAUCAUGACUUUACGUCAUGUUAAUAGUAAAAUCUGGGAAUUAGACAGCAUGAUCAUUGCACGGGUGUGCUUUAGCCUGGCCACGAUAAAAUACUGAACAAAAUAUGGUAUAGGCUAUAUAUCAACAAGUGGAGCACUAUACAAAUGUAAAUAUAAAAUAGUGGAGGGGUUCACUUACCCCAUUAAAACAAUAACACACUUGGAAAUAUACACUUGGGGACACAUAUAAAAAGAAAAAAAACAGAAAUAUAUAGUGCAGAUGGUUUUAAGCAAUAAUUGGUGAUAAAAGUAGAUAACUACACCCUGUUCCAAAUUAUGCAUAUUCUAUUUAAGUGUGACAAAGAUUAAAUAUUUUGUUUUUCAGUUUAACUCAUGGAUGGCAUUGUGUCUCAGGGCUCUUUUGAUCACUGAAAACAAUCUCGGACACCUGUGAUAAUUAGAUUACCAGGUGAGCCCAAUUUAAGGAAAAACUACUAAAGGAGGGUGUUCCACUUUAUGAAGCAGAGCACCAUUUUCAUGCAAUAUGGGGAAGAAAAAGGAUCUCUCUGCUGCCAAAAAGAGUAAAAUAGUUCAAUGCCUUGGACGAGGUAUGAAAACAUUAGAUAUUUCACAAAAACUUAGGCAUGAUCAUCUCACUAUUAAGAGAUUUGUGGCUGAUUCAGAGCACAGAUGGGUUCGUGCAGAUCCAUGCAUCGGAUCAAGAGAGCAGCUGCUAAAAUACCAUUACAUAGCAGCAAACAGAUAUUUGAAGCUGCUGGUGCCUCUGGAGUCCCACGGACAUCAAGUUGUAGAGUCCUCCAGAGUCUUGCAACUGUGCAUAAACCUUCUAUUCGGCCACCACUAAUCAAUACUCACAAGCAGAAACAGCUGCAUUGGGCAGAAAAAUACAUGAAGACUAAUUUUCAAACAGUCCUGUUCACUGAUGAGUGCUGUGCAGCCCUGGAUGGUCCAGAUAGAUAGAGUGGUGGAUGGCCACGCUGUUCCAAUAAGGCUGUGGUGGAGUCAUGUUUUGGGCCGGAAUCAUGGGAAGAGAGCUGGUUGGCCCCUUUAUGGUCCUCGAAGGUGUAAAGAUGACCUCUGCAAAGUAUGUGGAGUUUCUGACUGACCACUUUCUUCACUGGUACAGAAGGAAGAACUAUUCUUUCUAUAAUAAAAUCAUCUUCAUGCAUGACAAUGCACCAUCUCGUGCUGCAAAGAAUACCUCUGCAUCAAUGGCUGCUAUGGGGAUAAAGGAGAGAAAGUCAUGGUGUGGUCUCCAUCCUCCCCUGACCUCAAUCCUAUUGAGAACCUUUGGAGCAUCCUCAAGCAAAAGAUCUAUGAGGGUGGGAGGCAGUUUACUUCCGAACAGCAGCUCUGGGAGGCUAUUCUGACAUCUUGCAAACAAAUUCAAGCAGAAACUGUCCAAAAACACACAAGUUUAAAGGAUGCAAGGCUUGUGAAGCUGCUAUCAAAUAAGGGGUCCUGUGUUAAAAUAUUAUGUGAU